GGAGGGUGCGAGCGUUAAUCGGAAUUACUGGGCGUAAAGCGUGCGUAGGCGGUUCGUUAAGUCAGAUGUGAAAGCCCCGGGCUUAACCUGGGAACUGCAUUUGAAACUGGCGGACUAGAGUUGAGUAGAGGGGAGUGGAAUUUCAGGUGUAGCGGUGAAAUGCGUAGAUAUCUGAAGGAACACCAGUGGCGAAGGCGACUCCCUGGACUCAAACUGACGCUGAGGCGCGAAAGCGUGGGUAGCAAACAGGAUUAGAUACCCUGGUAGUCCACGCCGUAAACGAUGAGUACUAGGUGUUGCGGGUAUUGACCCCUGCAGUGCCGCAGCUAACGCAUUAAGUACUCCGCCUGGGAAGUACGGUCGCAAGACUA
This 371-nucleotide ribosomal RNA is filed under the name uncultured bacterium. RNAcentral's name for it is "bacterial SSU rRNA". It matches the Rfam family "Bacterial small subunit ribosomal RNA", at positions 527 to 896 of the family's 1533-position model. The record is from RNAcentral.